Neogale vison (American mink) is the source of this 630-nucleotide long non-coding RNA. RefSeq lists it as uncharacterized. Lineage: Eukaryota; Metazoa; Chordata; Mammalia; Carnivora; Mustelidae. The transcript is spliced from 4 exons. The record is from RefSeq and is a predicted model, not a curated record.
GGAGAAGUGGGCGUGGUCACUGGGACAGCCCUCCGAAAUGGGUCAGGUGACCGUUCAGACUCUGGGGAAGUGAAGGGUUCCUCACAUCACAGCAGCACGCGGGCCAUAACGUAGGCGGGUUUUACUGGACCCAUCAGACAACCUGUGCAAGACGUGAGGACGAGCGAAAUGCGCCGCCUGGAGUGAAGGUGGCGCUUCGAGUCUCAGGGGACGUGGCCUGCUGGGCAGCAUCCAAAGCGUCUGGCCUCCGUCUCUUCAGUGCAGAUGGAAGUUCAGCACGUCCAGGAGUGUGACCGCUGCCAUCUCCCUGGUGUACGUGCAUCGCAGUGAACCUAAAUUGGCAAUCGGUCAAGAAGAAACAAAUGUUUGCAUUCACUCAGUGACGAGUAUCCUGUGUAAGCUCACCAUCUGUCGGAGCCACACAUGGACACGCAGAGUCCCAGGCUGGCAGGAGAAGUGGUCGUGGUCGCUGGGACAGCCCUCCAAAAUGGGUGAGGUGACCUUUCAGACUCUGGGGAGGUGAAGGGUUCCUCACAUCACAGCAGCACGCGGACCAUAACGUAGGCGGGUUUUACUGGACCCAUCAGACAACCUGUGCAAGACGUGAGGACGAGUGAAAUGCGCCGCCUG